RNAcentral lists this ribosomal RNA (798 nucleotides) under uncultured bacterium. Its description in RNAcentral is "bacterial SSU rRNA". It matches the Rfam family "Bacterial small subunit ribosomal RNA", at positions 59 to 873 of the family's 1533-position model. The record is from RNAcentral.
CAGUCGAACGAUGAAGUCCUAGCUUGCUAGGAUGGAUUAGUGGCGCACGGGUGCGUUAUAUAUAGUUAAUCUGCCCUACACAGAGGAACAACAGUUGGAAACGGCUGCUAAUACCUCAUACUCCUAUUUAACAUAAGUUAAAUAGGGAAAGUCUUUUCGGUGUAGGAUGAGACUAUAUCGUAUCAGCUAGUUGGUAAGGUAAUGGCUUACCAAGGCUAUGACGCGUAACUGGUCUGAGAGGAUGAUCAGUCACAUUGGAACUGAGACACGGUCCAAACUCCUACGGGAGGCAGCAGUAAGGAAUAUUGCACAAUGGGGGAAACCCUGACGCAGCAACGCCGCGUGGAGGAUGACACUUUUCGGAGCGUAAACUCCUUUUAUCAGGAAAGAAUAAUGACGGUACCUGAUGAAUAAGCACCGGCUAACUCCGUGCCAGCAGCCGCGGUAAUACGGGGGGUGCAAGCGUUACCCGGAAUCACUGGGCGUAAAGGACGCGUAGGCGGAUUAUCAGGUCUUUUGUGAAAUCUAGUGGCUUAACCACUAAACUGCUUAGGAAACUGAUAGUCUAGAGUAGGGGAGAGGUAGAUGGAAUUCUUGGUGUAGGGGUAAAAUCCGUAGAGAUCAAGAAGAAUACCCAUUGCGAAAGCGAUCUGCUGGAACCUAACUGACGCUGAGGCGUGAAAGCGUGGGUAGCAAACAGGAUUAGAUACCCUGGUAGUCCACGCCCUAAACGAUGUAUACUAGUUGUUGCUUUGCUAGUCAAGGCAGUAAUGCAGCUAACGCAUUAAGUAUACCGCC